This 394-nucleotide ribosomal RNA is filed under the name uncultured bacterium. Its description in RNAcentral is "partial 16S ribosomal RNA". It matches the Rfam family "Bacterial small subunit ribosomal RNA", at positions 523 to 918 of the family's 1533-position model. The record is from RNAcentral.
AUACGUAGGGAGCGAGCGUUGUCCGGAAUUACUGGGCGUAAAGGGCGCGUAGGCGGCGCUUCAAGUCGUCUGUCAAAUGGGAGGGCUUAACCCUUUUUCGCAGACGAAACUGGAGAGCUUGAGAAGCAGAGAGGCAAACAGAAUUCCUGGUGUUGCGGUGAAAUGCGUAGAUAUCAGGAAGAAUACCAGUGGCGAAGGCGGUUUGCUGGCUGCAUACUGACGCUGAAGCGCGAAAGCCAGGGGAGCAAACGGGAUUAGAUACCCCGGUAGUCCUGGCAGUAAACGAUGUAUGCUGGGUGUGGGAGUAGCGAUACCUCCGUGCCGAAGUUAACGCGAUAAGCAUACCGCCUGGGGAGUACGGUCGCAAGAUUGAAACUCAAAGGAAUUGGCGGGG